This 153-nucleotide non-coding RNA is filed under the name Clostridium cylindrosporum. RNAcentral describes it as "GlcN6P sequence". It matches the Rfam family "glmS glucosamine-6-phosphate activated ribozyme aptamer". Rfam says of the family: This entry contains a glucosamine-6-phosphate activated ribozyme that is found in the mRNA for GlmS. GlmS is an enzyme that uses fructose-6-phosphate and glutamine to generate glucosamine-6-phosphate. The ribozyme catalyses self cleavage of the glmS mRNA that is thought to regulate GlmS activity. Lineage: Bacteria; Bacillati; Bacillota; Clostridia; Eubacteriales; Clostridiaceae. RNAcentral also lists the same sequence under 1 other name. The record is from RNAcentral.
AAAUAUAAUUAAGCGCCAGGACUUUUUUAUGAUUUAAAGUUGACGAGGUCAGAGUUUAUCGAAAUAUCGGCGGAUACUCUGCGUUUAACCAGCGUAAAAAACCUAACAAAGACUUAAAGUAAUUUAAGGAACAAAAAGGUGUGGUUAUGGGUU